This 220-nucleotide ribosomal RNA is filed under the name uncultured bacterium. RNAcentral's name for it is "partial 16S ribosomal RNA". It matches the Rfam family "Bacterial small subunit ribosomal RNA", at positions 57 to 305 of the family's 1533-position model. The record is from RNAcentral.
GCAAGUCGAGCGGGGUAGCAAUACCUAGCGGCAGACGGGUGCGUAACAUGUGGGAAUCUGCCUUUUGGUUCGGAACAACAUGGGGAAACCUGUGCUAAUACCGGAUAAGUCCUAACGGAGAAAGUUUUAAUGCCAAAAGAUGAGCCCGCAUUUGAUUAGCUUGUUGGUGAGGUAAUGGCUCACCAAGACUACAAUCAAUAGCUGAUUUGAGAGGAUGAUC